AAUAAAUUACAUAUUAAUUUCGACUUAAUAAUAGAUUUUUUUUAAUCCUUAUUU
This 54-nucleotide transfer RNA is filed under the name Schizaphis graminum (greenbug). Its description in RNAcentral is "tRNA-Arg". Lineage: Eukaryota; Metazoa; Arthropoda; Insecta; Hemiptera; Aphididae. The record is from RNAcentral.